AUUGAACGCUGGCGGCAUGCCUUACACAUGCAAGUCGAACGGCAGCACGGGUGCUUGCACCUGGUGGCGAGUGGCGAACGGGUGAGUAAUACAUCGGAACAUGUCCUGUAGUGGGGGAUAGCCCGGCGAAAGCCGGAUUAAUACCGCAUACGAUCUACGGCUGAAAGCGGGGGACCUUCGGGCCUCGCGCUAUAGGGUUGGCCGAUGGCUGAUUAGCUAGUUGGUGGGGUAAAGGCCUACCAAGGCGACGAUCAGUAGCUGGUCUGAGAGGACGACCAGCCACACUGGGACUGAGACACGGCCCAGACUCCUACGGGAGGCAGCAGUGGGGAAUUUUGGACAAAGGGCGAAAGCCUGAUCCAGCAAUGCCGCGUGUGUGAAGAAGGCCUUCGGGUUGUAAAGCACUUUUGUCCGGAAAGAAAUCCUUGGCCCUAAUACGGUCGGGGGAUGACGGUACCGGAAGAAUAAGCACCGGCUAACUACGUG
This 486-nucleotide ribosomal RNA is filed under the name uncultured bacterium. RNAcentral's name for it is "partial 16S ribosomal RNA". It matches the Rfam family "Bacterial small subunit ribosomal RNA", at positions 30 to 507 of the family's 1533-position model. The record is from RNAcentral.